Molecule: small nuclear RNA, 107 nt
Organism: Suricata suricatta (meerkat)
Lineage: Eukaryota; Metazoa; Chordata; Mammalia; Carnivora; Herpestidae
Source: Ensembl
AUGCUCACUUUGGCAGCACAUAUACUAAAAUUGGAACAAUACAGGGAAGAUUAGCAUGGCUUCUAUGUGAGGAUGAUACAUAAGUUUGUGAUGUAUUCCAUAUUAAA